Non-coding RNA from Marchantia polymorpha subsp. polymorpha, 77 nucleotides. The record is from Rfam. Lineage: Eukaryota; Viridiplantae; Streptophyta; Marchantiopsida; Marchantiales; Marchantiaceae.
AGGAGCCCUAUGAUGGGAGACUAUCACGUACGGUUUUGAAUCAGGGGCGUCAGAGGAAAUUCCACGUCUACUGUAAC